RNAcentral lists this ribosomal RNA (626 nucleotides) under uncultured bacterium. Its description in RNAcentral is "bacterial SSU rRNA". It matches the Rfam family "Bacterial small subunit ribosomal RNA", at positions 364 to 1008 of the family's 1533-position model. The record is from RNAcentral.
UUCCCAUGGGCGAAAGCUGACGGAGCACGCCGCGUGAGGGAUGAAGGCCUCUGGGCUGUAAACCUCUUUUAUCAAGGAAGAAGAUCUGACGGUACUUGAUGAAUAAGCCACGGCUAAUUCCGUGCCAGCAGCCGCGGUAAUACGGGAGUGGCAAGCGUUAUCCGGAAUUAUUGGGCGUAAAGCGUCCGCAGGCGGUCUUGUAAGUCUGUCGUUAAAGCGUGGAGCUUAACUCCAUUUAAGCGAUGGAAACUGCAAGACUAGAGUGUGGUAGGGGCAGAGGGAAUUCCCGGUGUAGCGGUGAAAUGCGUAGAUAUCGGGAAGAACACCAGUGGCGAAGGCGCUCUGCUGGGCCAUAACUGACGCUCAUGGACGAAAGCCAGGGGAGCGAAAGGGAUUAGAUACCCCUGUAGUCCUGGCCGUAAACGAUGAACACUAGGUGUCGGGGGAAUCGACCCCCUCGGUGUCGUAGCCAACGCGUUAAGUGUUCCGCCUGGGGAGUACGCACGCAAGUGUGAAACUCAAAGGAAUUGACGGGGGCCCGCACAAGCGGUGGAGUAUGUGGUUUAAUUCGAUGCAACGCGAAGAACCUUACCAGGGUUUGACAUCCUGCGAAUCUCUUGGAAACG